GCCGCCUUAGUCUAAUGGUUAGGACGCUUGCCUCUCACGCAGGUAUCAGGGGUUCAAAUCCCCUAGGCGGUGCCA
Molecule: transfer RNA, 75 nt
Filed under: Clostridiales bacterium
Lineage: Bacteria; Bacillati; Bacillota; Clostridia; Eubacteriales
Description: tRNA-Glu
Rfam family: tRNA
About the family: Transfer RNA (tRNA) molecules are approximately 80 nucleotides in length. Their secondary structure includes four short double-helical elements and three loops (D, anti-codon, and T loops).
Source: RNAcentral